Etheostoma cragini (Arkansas darter) is the source of this 95-nucleotide long non-coding RNA. RefSeq lists it as uncharacterized. The record is from RefSeq and is a predicted model, not a curated record. Lineage: Eukaryota; Metazoa; Chordata; Actinopteri; Perciformes; Percidae. The transcript has 3 exons.
UGACGCCGCUGUCGGGCAGCAAUAUUUGAACAUACCAGGACUACCUGUGGACAGAGUCUUCCGGGGACUUUUGGACGAGGUUCAGAUUUCCUCCC